Molecule: long non-coding RNA, 244 nt
Filed under: Homo sapiens (human)
Lineage: Eukaryota; Metazoa; Chordata; Mammalia; Primates; Hominidae
Description: non-protein coding lnc-ZPLD1-7:1
Source: RNAcentral
ACAUACUCUGCCAGAUCAUUAGUCAGGUCAAGAAGCAUCCAAGCUUGAUGCCCCUCUUUGUAUUUAUUGGAGUUGGAGAUACUGGAGCAGCACUGUAUCUCUUGUUUCUGGCAUUGUUCAAUCCAGAUGUUAAUUGGGACAGAAAGAAUAACUCAGAGCCCUGGAACAAACUGGAUCCCAAUGAUCAGUACAAGUUCUACUCAGUGAAUGUGGAUUACAGCAAACUAAAGAAAGAAGGUCCAGA